ACUAUAUGUAAUGAAUGUGUACUGUGCAUUGUGCUUAACAAGAAUGAGUGCAUUGUGCUUAACAAGAAUGAGUGAUGUCUAGCAAUAGUUUGUCUGUUCUGUAUAAAAUUUUCAUUAUUUGCCCUGAAUGCGAUUCUGGUUUACAAUAUAAAGAUAAUUCUGAACUGUUAUUUAGAUAAUUAGAUUGAUUAAACUGUUAUGAAUGAUUGAAUGAUUUCUAGUUUAUUUAGAUAAUUGUGAUUGAAAGGAUUUUAUUCGUUAACAUGUAGAAAUUAUGCCUCCCGUUCCUAAAUACAAACACCUAUCCGGCUUCAAGGAGUUGAUCGAGAGCUUUGCUUCAAAAAACGCUAGGAGAACCACAUUGUUUGCUUAGCAAUCGAACCCGCAACUCAUCGGAGUUCAUUCGAAGUUCACCAGAAGUCAUCGGAGACGCAGCCGGAAUUGUAACUCAUGACGGAGUGUAGCCCGAACCGUUUCGGAUAACCAUUCUCUUUCUCUUGGAAUUCUCCAUCCUUAUUCGUGCGUUACUUACAAGAAAUCGCAAUGCAAUCAAUGAUGAAAGGUCAAGGACAAGAAACAAGCUAGGAUGGAUUUUAGAAACCCAUUUUAGUAUUUCAAAUUUUUGUUGCACCUUUGUUUGUUUAUUUGAGACUAUGUAAUUCACUUUGGUUAUUAAUAAAAUGAUU
Molecule: long non-coding RNA, 686 nt
Filed under: Helianthus annuus (common sunflower)
Lineage: Eukaryota; Viridiplantae; Streptophyta; Magnoliopsida; Asterales; Asteraceae
Description: hypothetical non coding rna
Source: RNAcentral